Molecule: ribosomal RNA, 484 nt
Filed under: uncultured bacterium
Lineage: Bacteria
Description: partial 16S ribosomal RNA
Rfam family: Bacterial small subunit ribosomal RNA
Source: RNAcentral
AUUGAACGCUGGCGGCAGGCCUAACACAUGCAAGUCGAGCGGAUGAAGGGAGCUUGCUCCUGGAUUCAGCGGCGGACGGGUGAGUAAUGCCUAGGAAUCUGCCUGGUAGUGGGGGAUAACGUCCGGAAACGGGCGCUGAUACCGCAUACGUCCUGAGGGAGCAAGUGGGGGAUCUUCGGACCUCACGCCAUCAGAUGAGCCUAGGUCGGAUUAGCUAGUUGGUGGGGUAAAGGCCUACCAAGGCGAGGAUCGGUAACUGGUCUGAGAGGAUGAUCAGUCACACUGGAACGGGGAGACGGUCCAGACCACUACGAGAGGCAGCAGGGGGGAAUAUUUGAGGAUGGGCGAAGGCCGGAACCAGCCAUGACGCGUGUGUGAAGAAGGUAGUCGGAUCGUGUGGAAGUUGAAGGUGGGAGGAAGGGCAGUAUGUUAAUACGUUGAUGUUUUUAAGUGACCAACAGAAUGAGCACCGGCUAACUUUGGU